Molecule: ribosomal RNA, 415 nt
Filed under: uncultured eukaryote
Lineage: Eukaryota
Description: SSU rRNA
Rfam family: Eukaryotic small subunit ribosomal RNA
Source: RNAcentral
CCAGCAGCUGCGGUAAUUCCAGCUCCAAUAGCGUAUAUUUAAGUUGUUGCAGUUAAAAAGCUCGUAGUUGGAUUUCGGGUGGGUUCCAGCGGUCCGCCUCUGGUGAGUACUGCUGGGGCCUAUCUUUCUGUCGAGGACGGGCUCCUGGGCUUCACUGUCCGGGACUCGGAGUCGACGAUGUCACUUUGAGUAAAUUAGAGUGUUCAAAGCAAGCUUACGCUCUGAAUACUUUAGCAUGGAAUGACACGAUAGGACUCUGGCCUAUCUUGUUGGUCUGUAGGACCGGAGUAAUGAUUAAGAGGGACAGUCGGGGGCAUUCGUAUUUCAUUGUCAGAGGUGAAAUUCUUGGAUUUAUGAAAGACGAACUACUGCGAAAGCAUUUGCCAAGGAUGUUUUCAUUAAUCAAGAACGAAAG